CUUUUUCGCCCCGCCCUUCAAAUGCGAAAGCGACUGCCUUCUUGGUCCAAGCACAAAUGUGGAUCACUGAACACAGUACUGGAAGCGCCAUUUGCAGGAUAUGGUUUUCGAUUACUAAGUAUUCGAAAUCCUCAUACCAGCAACAGAAAUGAACCACUUCCAAAUUCUAAGACACAAAAGACCAAAGAGAAGCAAAAGCGAUACAAAUUAAUAUGUGCCCCUCUCCUUUCUGCUCUAAGGGAAUCUACAAACCAGUAUCACAUUUAGGAGUCAAAGUGUUAAUUCUUCAGCAUUCCUGACAACUAGAAAGCACAUUCACUGAAGGCUGAAGGUGAGGGAGUGGAUGGUUUAACUUUAAUAUCUGAAGAAUGGCGCCAAUAGAGGAAAGAAAACCAUCCAAUCUCAGUAAGGAUUAAUGCAAAUCUGGCUAGAAAAAGCCACCAGGUAAUCCAAGGGUUCACUGUGGAAGAACUCAUGAAAAGUACUCUGAAGUAUACACAACAGGUCUAAACAUCUCCCUUGUCGUAAGUAGUUGUGUAAAAUUCAAGAUAAAGAUUUAGUCUCAUCUUUUAAUGUCAGUUUUUUCCCCCAUGUUAAAGGGAAUGAGGAGGAGUCCUCUUUUAUUCCCCCACAAGAAAAAGGGAGCCACAUUAAUAUGUGUAUAUUCCCAUAACUCUAAUGUAAGUGCGGAUCUCCAAAGCCUAGGGAUUUUUCCGUAAAAGAGAGUGGGCCGUUCUGGUUACCCUUUUAUUAGAAGGGUAUUCCACCACAGAGAGCCGGAGGUUUUCCAGAUGUGUGUAAGAGAGCAGGUGCGCAAGGCAAGCAAAUGAGCGCAAACAGUAUUAUGGAAAACAUUUGAGAAGUUAGCUCCAUGAGGACUGUGGGCUCCACAAGAGGACUCGACUGGGUAGCCUGGUCUGACACAGGUACGUGAAAGCAGAGUAUUGCUUCAAAGCUGGAAACCUUCCAUAGGAGCCUCACACUGUUGGAAGAUGUACUGCUGCUGGUUAAGGUCAACCUGGGGUGCAAUGCUGCUGUCUUCAUCUUCGGUCCCGAAGUAAUGCUCAAUAAGAUCAAAGGCCUUUUGGUAGAUCUCCUGGUUUUCAUGACUCUGUAAGAACUCAAUUUUAUCCAGACCUAAAAUGAAGAAUAAAGGAAAAUCUUUAUUGAAAACUUCAAUAAAUAUUGGAAAUUCCAUAACUAUAUAUUCCUAAA
RNAcentral lists this long non-coding RNA (1215 nucleotides) under Homo sapiens (human). RNAcentral describes it as "HSALNT0059605". The record is from RNAcentral. Lineage: Eukaryota; Metazoa; Chordata; Mammalia; Primates; Hominidae.